This is a long non-coding RNA of Oxyura jamaicensis (ruddy duck), 8182 nucleotides long. RefSeq lists it as uncharacterized. The transcript has 3 exons. The record is from RefSeq and is a predicted model, not a curated record. NCBI's taxonomy places the organism in Eukaryota, Metazoa, Chordata, Aves, Anseriformes, Anatidae.
CAGCGCUCCCCAUUGGUCGGCGCCCCCAGCCUAUGGGCAGCGCCCGCGCCGCGCUCUCCACCAAUGGCCGUGCCGCCGGCGCCGCGCCCCUCCCCUGUCGCUAAGGGAGGGAAAUACAGCGAGCUGGGGCGCGGGCUGGCAGGACUUCUCUGAUGAUUCAGGAAUAAGCGUUGGGAACAUUCGGUGCUUUCCAUGGGAGGAAGACGCAAGCCAGCCAGGCCCCGGUUCCCUGCCAUCUUGAGCCUUUCCUGGUGAUUUGCUGCAGCACAGAUAAGUAUAAAGCACUGAGGGACUGGAGUCACUGUUUAAACCUGACUUCAUUUCAGUGUAAAUGACCACAUGAGACUGAGAUCAGCAGAGAAUCAGGGGUGAAAGAGCAGAGGUGUUUAAGGUGCCUCUUCUAAAAGUACACUUUUGAGUAUUUGGUGAUUAAUGAGGUUUUUGGAAAAGUCUUCUCUCCACAUGUGUUUAUGUUUAUGUGUCCUAACAGAAGGUGAUGCGCUAUCUUACGUGCCAGAUAGGCUUUGGAUGAAUGUGCAUCACCUUACUGAUUUCAGGGGUGCUGUAUUAAUACAAGUUAGUGAAGAAAGUAAUCCAGCUAAGUUUAAAAUAAUUGGAAUAAUAUUCUCCAUCUCUUUCAGUCAGAUUUGCCUUUCAUGUUAACGUGUGUUUCAUAAUCCUAUAGCUCUCCAUUUCAUCAGUACCAGACCAGGAUCUCUAUUGUAAAAAAUGAGCAGGGAAAAAGAAGAAGAAAAAAAAACACCUCAAAAGGCAGUCUUUUUACUUUACAAUCUUUAUUUUCAUGUUUAAAUAAAUUUAGGGCACAAGCUCAUCCUAUUUUUUUUAAUGGGCAAAUUUAGCGUUGUUCUCUUAGACUGAUAUUUUAUAAAGCCAGAAGGUUUCAGAAGGAGAAUGUGUUCAGUGCACCAGAACCCUUUAGAGUUUUGAUAAAAGACACGAUAUCGUGAGUAACAUUUCCACUUCUGUUAUUCUUCUUAUAUAGUACUGACAAGAUUGAAUCACCAUUUUUAGCUAUUCUUCAGCAGAACUCGUAAUCUAUCAAUGUGUCAGCUCAACAGCAGUUUUCUCUUCGCACUAAUGUGAACCAGAAGGUCCAGAUAUCACUGAUUUUGACAAUUUUAUUUUAUCUGAGAUUGCAUAUAUUGCAGAACUUCGAAGAAAAUGAAUUACAGAACCUAUUAUGUUUUCCUAAAGAUGUACAAGACAUAAAACAUGUCCUCUAAAACAUUUUACACUCAUUUGUACAGGAUCACAUUCCUAAGUUCGGUGUUUCAUAAGCAUUAGGCUAUAAGCACUUCAAAAUAACAAGUUUAAGAUCACAUGUGGGUCCUGUAUCUUUUUAAAUGUCUCACAUUGCCCUCUGUGUUGUUACAUAAUGCAUCAUAAAGAAAUACGUGCCUUCAUUCUGCUUAAAUCGCUCGGGCAUGGAUAGUGCUAAGCCUUCUUGCAAGUCCUUGUUAUGCAAGUCCUUGCUACUGGUUAAUAGCUGUCAGCUCUGCGUGCUUACUUAAAAAACAAGGUAACUGCAGACUUUUCGUGAAGCUCAUUGCGUUUCUGGAGUUCACAAUGAGUCAGUUCCCGUUGCUUUGCUCCCUUCCUCAUCUAUAAAUUAAAUUAUUACGAACAAACAGGUUUUUCCCCAUUAGAAGAAUGUCCCAUUCAUUCCACUGUAUCACAACAUAAUCUGCUUUUUCUUUAGUUGCAUCUAUAAGCAUACCACAUUAUGAGUAUCUGAAUACACUUCUGCAGUGUCAAAGCACAAGUGGAAUAGACCAGAAUAAAAUAAUAUUUUUGAAAGUCUGUCAAAAAAAUUCAGACAUAAAACUAAAUACUGAAAAAAUACGUAGGAUAGUAAAAAUCCAUGAGCAAUUUAACAAAGUGAAAAGAUAGCAAAUAAUCCACAUAGGCACUAGGUAAUAUUAUGUAAAGUAAAAUCUGUGUUACACAGUAUUAGCAGCAUUCAAAUGAAAUUGAUGAGGCAUCUGUAAAGAGCAGAAAGACUCAUUUUUAAAGCUAGGAUUUUUCGAUGUUCUGUAUUUCUUUACUUGGGAAGUGGAAUUUUCCUUCUCUUUUUGUAAAGGCACAAAAUUAACAACAAGCACUUUAAAGAAUUAGGUGCAUUGCCUGGUAUUUAUACAUUUUUUUCCUCUAUCAAGCAUAGAUCAGUUUUGGAAGAAAAUCAGGAGAAACAUAGCUGCAUUUGCCGAUAUCAUAGAGAUUUUUCCAAGUAGCCUCUCCUUUAACAAGGCCUCGGUUUUAAAGAUACUGAAAUAGGAAUAUCCCAAUAUUCAUAAUACUGACUACAUAAAGAAAAAAUUUGCUCUCGGUUUAUAGUUGUAUAAGUAGGCAAGUAGUAAUUCAGUGUAGUGUCACCAGAAAAGGAGGGCUCUCUUUCAUAUUCCAUUUAUCAGUUUAACAAUCCCAUAUUGCAUUUUUACAUUUUUUCCCUUCUGUUGCUCUUGAAAAUUUGGGGCUCUAAAUUAUUUGCUUAUUUCCCUUCUCCUAGUAGUAAUCAUUUUAAAAGGUCCAACUAUGUUCUGUUCUGGUUUUGGUACAACAUGUGAAAAAUAAUAUUUUUUAUUUCUUUUGUAAACAGGUCAGGGGAGAGGUCUGCACUGUAAAAUGGUAUACCUACAAAAUUGUACUCGGGUGGAAGAUUAAAUAAGAAAGAAUAGCUGAGAGAAGUCAUUUGUCACAGAUGUUUGUGCAGUUCUGUGUUUUGUUUUAAGCUGAAUUCAUCAAACAUACUAAGGAGUAAUUUAUGUCUGAUACAAAGUUUUCAUCCAAGGAGCCUAAGUAGGUUAAGUUUAAACUGUCAUUUGAAAAUACAGGGAAAUUCUAUGGACACACACAAGAAAGUAAAUUGGAGAAUGCUAUUUUUGCAGCCUCUUAAUUGAGUAUUGAGGCAAAAUGUAUCAGAAUUAAGUUGCUGUAGAACAUAGUUACUUUAGUUACAAAAUGUUUUUGUCUACCAAGCACAAAUACUUUACCAUAAAUGUUUGAAUUCUAUAGAUUAUAAAGGGCGCCUAAUCACAAAACACUGAUAUGAUCAUAUCUGAUGCUGAAGUGGCAUAUACUGCUUUUACAAUAUUUCAGAAGUUUAUAACAUAAGUUUAGUAAUUAAACUUAGAAAAAAAUGAACAAGAUAAGCACUAGCACUUUUUUUUUUCUCUUUUUUUGAGGUGGGUUGAUUAUUGGAUUUGAUAAAGUAGAACACAAAUGAGAAGGCCCAGGAGUUGGAUUAGUUCAAAAAGGGAAUUUUAAAAAAUGAGUAUCAAACUCAUUCUUAGUUCCUUAUUAGUUGCUAUCUCUUUUAAUACAAUUUUCCCUUUUGUAAGUUUCUUUCUCUCUUCCCUCAUGAAUUCUAUGCUUCUGCCCCAAAAAGGAGAAAUAUAAUGGCUACAAUUAACUUCAGUUUAUUGGAGCAAAAUUAUUUUUUUUCCUCAAACAAAAAUAUAUGUAUUAAUUUGCUAGAUUUCCAGCAAGUUUUACAUACAUUAUUUCUGAGAAUAAGGAUACCCACUUUAUGCAGCUUGCUACAGUAUAGUAGCUGUAAUCUAGCAUUUUUCUCUUUUGUAAUCAGAUAGUCAGAAUUGACAGCCUGUUUGCUUUUAAGUGCCUGAAAACUAACUUGGUAACACUGUUUUUAAUACAAUAAAUAUGGCAUUUCAGUCUGCACUUCCUUUUUUAGUUUUCUAAGUAAAUGUUGACCAGACCGAUUAUCAGAAAAAUCAAGGCUUACAUAAUCAAGCCAUACAUUUUUAUACUCUUCUUUCCCUUCCCCCACUUCAGCCUUCAUUUUUCUCAAAAAAAUGAAAAUUUUCAAUUAGAAAAUUACGAUGAUAUACUAAUGGUAGACACACUUUCAUGAGACUGCGUAACUAAGCUAUUUGUAUGAAUUCAGUAAAAGAAGGCAGUAAACAAAAUACUAAAACCUUGAGAUAGCUAACCUUUGAAAUUACAGUAAUUAUUAAAUUCAGCAUUAUCUAGUGUGAUGUACGUGGCUGUGUGCCUUUGAGUCUCAUUUCUUUGCUUGGAGAAAUAGGGUACUUCUCUUUAUUCCUUAGUCAGAAUAAUAAAAAUAAGAACAUCCUACCCCCUUUUUUUUUUUACUCACCGUAAAGCUGAUGCUCCUUCAUAAAAGCGUUGGUUUAAAUAUUCAGCUUUCGGAGGAUGUUAAAUGAUUGCUGUGGAAAAAGUAUAUAGCAAAUGAAUUGAAACUCUGUCCUGCUAAAAUAAUUACAAAUUGAAUUAAUUGGAAAGAAUAGUAUUAAAAUUUCAUCGAAAUAUGUUAACAUGAACUCCUGCCCAUAGGUGGCAGUCAGCCUUCACAGUCGUAGGGAUGCCAAACUUUUGGUUCAUGGUAUUCAUGCUUAUGCUGAAAUGAAUUUGAUUGGGUAUGCGUAUGUGCAUGUACAGAACUAUUUAGAUGUCUGUUCUGGGAGAGAGGGAAAGAAAUAAAAUGUUAAAAUGAAUUAUUAAUUAGGAGAAAUCCUAAUUACCAUAUAUAAGCAAAAUAAAUUAUAAUUUCCUGGAGAAAAUAUCUAAGUAAAAACACACACCUUAAAGAAUCAGUAAUAAUUCAGAAACAAGCAGGUGCCCCUACAAAUUGAGUAGAAAGGCAAGUAUCUUGCCAGCCUCAGAGAGCAUGACCUCAUCCUGUGCCCAGUCCUCUGAACUACAUUUCUAUUUCAUAGUCCAUUGUCUGCAAAUUACAGAAGUGCUGCAGUGAUGACAUUCUGUGCUAGAAAUCCCAGCAACACGCUUCUGUAAGCAUACAGCAAAUACAGAAAAGGUACUAGGAACGAGUGUAUCCUUUCUGCCGUGGAGAGCCAGUCAACCUGUGGCCUGUGAUUCCGAUUCUCUUCACAGAGCUUCCAUUGACACCCGUGGCAGCACUGCACAAGGGGAAGAUGCUGCCAAGGAGAGCAGAGAUCCACUCAAUUUUGCCCUCAGCUUCUUUAGGGCUUUAUGUGGUUUAUGAGGAUUUCCUUUUGCAAUAUAACUAAGGAGGCACUUGGGACCCCACCAAAACUGGAGGGGAUAGAAGGAGCUAAUAAGGCCAAGUUGUCUCAGUCUAAAACAAACAGAGCUGGUGAAACUACGUGUGACAUACUAAGGCUAUAGAGCUCUCGUGAGAAAAGAAGACUGAAAACUAAAAUGCCCGAGUAGGUAAAGUCAUAUUCUUUUUACUAUUAGAGCUACGCUGGGAUUCUUUUCAGUUAAGAUUAAUCUAAUUCUGUGUCAAAGUAGUCCACUGUAUACAUUUAACUCAAUCCAGGAACUAACACCUUAGAAAAUGGAAAAUUUGAAAAAUACACCAUUAUUUGUUGCUACAGGAAUGCUGUAUUUUGAUGCAAGAUUAAGGGCUCAGAAUUGAACAGGAUGGUGCAGCAUUAUUAAAACAGAAGGCCUAAUUCUCCUUAUGCAAGAGUAGCAACUACAAACAUCGUUGUAUAAGCCGAAGCAGUCAGUAUGAUUUCGUAGUCAAACAGGGUAUUUCCACAUACAUGCAACCACUACAUGACUAAUUAGAUACUUGCAUAUGUGCAGCCCCAUUUAUUCCCCAACUAUAAUAAUUAUGAGAAUUGCACUUCACAUUAAUUUACACUCUUGUGUAACACAAUUGAAUGCAAGAUAGCAGGUGGUGAUAAACUGGCUGGUGGGAAAUAUGUUAAUUUGAUAUGCAUUUGGAAAAUCAAAGCUUUCAGACUCAGUUCUGGUCUUGACAUAGGAAAGACUGGUGAAGACCUCCUCAGUCAUAGGCUCUGAUCCCAGCUUUUGUGGACAUCCAUGUUGUACCAUGCAAGUUAUUUGCAGAGGUAUCGAACUCCAUCUUGAAAGUACCCUAGUCAUAAGGUUGCUCCUAAUUUCCAUUCCUCUAAAUGGUUAAAGAUUUCUAAUAACAUGUAGUCAAAACCAGCUGACGCCCUCGUGUUCUGUAAACGUCUUUGACUUCAGUUUAAAUAGCCUUUCUCUCUCCCUAAGUAAAAAGUCCUUUCUAACCUGUCACCCUUUGAGCUUUCAUAGAUUACUUGCUUUUCAUAUCUUACUCCCCAAACCUACUCAGCCUUAGUUCUGCCAAAAUAACUGUGCUGUACCUGUCACAGAAGAGGAUGCCUUUACCCCAGCCAUUUUUUAACCCUUCUUUGCACCUUUUCCACUUCAGUAAAUCUUUUUUCAACAUGCUGAAUUAGAAGUAUGCACAGUAUUCCAGGUAAGAUCUUGUCAGGGCCUUUCAUGGUGGCAUUAACACCUUCCUAGCCCUGCUAGAAAUACAGCAACUAGUAUUCUGAUAUUUUAACUUUUUUUUUUAAUUCUUUGCAGAGCUACAUGCUACCAGUAUCUCACAGGCCCUGAGGACUAAAUGAGACACCUAGCUUACCUUUUUUUAUGGAUGCUGAUAGCUAAAGUGCUUGUUACUCAUUCCAAGGUUAUGACCUUGACCUUUACACUAUUAUAAUGGUAUUGCAUGACAAGGGUGUCAAAAAGCUUUUUACAAGAAGGGUGUCAUCAGUUUCAUCCAAGCCCCAGGCUUCCUGUGAGUUUUCUGGCAUGCCCAGAUUUGUUCAGGAAUCUCUACACUUUGCACGACUAUCGACGUGAGCUGGUACAUGCACCUGAUAUGGUGAAGGACUACAGAUAAACCAGAUUGGCUCGUGAAACAGAGUUCUCUUGAGUAUUGCAUUACCUCUGGCACAUCACAGUACGUUAUUUCCAGGGUUGCAUUACAAAUUCCCCUUGCCCCAAAGAGCUCUCCCUCUCCAACUCCCACAGCUUUUCUCUCCUGUGCCACUCAGGUACCUGUGGAAAACUGUGGCCAGCGAGUAAGCAGAUCCUUCACAAGACACAAAGAGUGAUUGUGGAACUGGUGUUCUGCCAGCAGGUCUGCCAUAUGUAUGAUGAAUGCUAACAUUUUUCACCACUGUAAGGCAGCAGCAAGCAUUUUUAAGCACAAUGAUCAAUUUUGUUCUCUAGCAUCUAGUUGAACAUCAGUAAAUACGUUAUUAAGAGGCUUGACAGUGUGCUCCUUAGCAAUCAAGGCCAAGAUGUAGCCAGAUACUCAUCUUAAUCUCUGCAGACACAUUUCAAAUGAAUUUUUACAGUGCCUGGAACAAAGGUCCCUGGUUUGAAGGGGGACACCUGGAUGAUAAAAGCAAAUUAGAAUUAAUAAUGCAUUGUGUUUACGGUGGCAAAUUGUCAUCUAAAGACAGUGGUAAAAGCUUGUAGUAUAGGCUACUGCUAGAAUCCUAUUAACAAAAUUGCUUGCUUUAAAUCACUCUCAAGGCUUAAGGUAGGAUGUUCUCUUGUAGGCAAUGCUUUCUCUUGAAUAUUUGUAUUUGACUCCCUAUUUAUGUUCUAGCAAGAAACUAGUCAAUACUGAGAGGAACUGUAUUUUGAAAUAACUCCAUUCUAUCGCAAUAUUUUUGUUAUCAUUCCAUCCUAUAACGUUACAGAUAAACUUCCACUUGUACUCAGCAGAAAUACAGGACAAGGGCAAGGCUCUAUACCUGCUGCAGAGUUGUGUCCAGGGAGGAAGGAAAUACUAACUUUGGAUAAGUCUGCUGUCUCCUUGACUACUCAGUCCUCUACUUCUCUGAGAGAUCAGCCUAUACUUCUACAAUGUCAACUUUCUGAUCUUCUGUUUGCUGAAGUACCUUUGACAGGAGUAACAUUAUUCCCAUUUUUAUUUUUGUGAUUCUUUAGAGUUUCUUACAGAACCUGAGAAGUUCAGUGAGCUCUACCAUAUAUGAAGGUCAAACACAGCAACGUAUGCUACAGAAAUGGAUUUUAGUUUUCAUUGAAAUUCACAUUUCUAGUCAACCUCAGUUCACUACUAAAGCAUUUUGGUUUCCUUUGUCAUCUAGAUUUUCUUUUUCUUUUCAAAAAUGAUUGAAACGUCGGUGGAAUCCUGGCCUCAUUGCAGCACUGCAAAGCGUACAGACAGCCACACUGAAAUGAGGGCCAAAGUUGUUUGAAGCUCAAGUGAAAGCAGUUUGGGUAGUGUAGUUGGCUUACUGCAGCCUUCUCAACUAUGUACUUCAGAAAGCCGUGUAACCGAUAUGGAAAAAAAAAUAAAAUUAAAAAGCCCCACAUUUAUCACCUUGUACAAUGUAACCACAAAGCUUUUGAUUAAUAAUAAAAAAGACUGAAUUAAAAA